GACGAACGCUGGCGGCGUGCCUAACACAUGCAAGUCGAACGGAAACGCCCCUUUGGGGGUACCCUAGUGGCGGCCGGGUGCGUAACACGUGGGUAACCUGCCCUUUCCUUCGGGAUAACUUCCGUAAACUGGGGCUACUUCCGGAAAGGCCUCCUUGCUGCACCGUGGGGGUUGGAAAGCUUCUGCGGCUUUGGGUGGACUCGCGGCCUAACGGCUUGUUGGUGGGGUAGUGGUUUACCAAGGUGUUAACGGGCAGCUGGCCUGCGAGAGCGACCGGCCACAUUGGGACUGAGAUAAGGCACAGAUUCGUAAGGGAGGCAGAAGUGGGGAAUACUGCACAAUGGGCGGAAGGCUGAUGAAGAAACGCCGCGUGCGGGAUGACCGCCUUGGGGUUGAAAAAAGCUUUCAGCAGGAGCGCCGCUUGUUGUGACGGUACCUGCAGAAGAAGCACCGGCUAACUACGUG
RNAcentral lists this ribosomal RNA (465 nucleotides) under uncultured bacterium. RNAcentral's name for it is "partial 16S ribosomal RNA". It matches the Rfam family "Bacterial small subunit ribosomal RNA", at positions 28 to 507 of the family's 1533-position model. The record is from RNAcentral.